This 2626-nucleotide long non-coding RNA is filed under the name Homo sapiens (human). Its description in RNAcentral is "non-protein coding lnc-SLC37A4-1:38". The record is from RNAcentral. Lineage: Eukaryota; Metazoa; Chordata; Mammalia; Primates; Hominidae.
CUGCUUAUUUGACGUGUGUGUGCAUGCCCUGGAGGCACUGUUUAUUCCGAGAGUGUUUGAGGGGCUUCUGAGCAUGGUUUUCACACCUGUGUGGGUGCAUGUGGAGGCUUCAGGGUGAGUGCUGGCUACUGACACUGUGAGCACUGGGAACUAAAAAGUUGGCACAACGACUUCAUGUGGCCUGGCAUGCUACCCUUCAGGAGGGACAAGGUCCCUGACUCCAAUCCUGAGCCCUUUGCCCCAUGUUGGGUGGUGGAGCAACAGAACUGCUAGAGGCCCGGGACUGGCAUCCAGAGUGAGGUGGGAAAUCCCAUAUGCAAAUCCCAGGGAGGGGGAACUGCCACGUCCUGCUCCCUUUUUGUUCCCUGACAACUGUAGCUGAGAAUCAUGGGUCAGUCUGGGGCUAGUGCCGAUGGUGAGGCAGGAGAAGUGGCCGAAGUAGUAGGGCCCCAUGAGUGUCAGAUUGCAGCACAGGCUCCUCCUGUUCCUCUGGGAAGUAACCUGUCUCACCCCACUGGGCACCCCUGCACACCUGACCCCAUGCCUUCUUUCAUUGCUCCUGUGUUUCUCCCCUGGUCCCUAACCCCUAAGUGUAAUGUUCCCUGCAGGGUUCAUCACCAGCAGCCAGUCGGCAGCUUAUGCUAUCAGCAAGUUUGUCAGUGGGGUGCUGUCUGACCAGAUGAGUGCUCGCUGGCUCUUCUCUUCUGGGCUGCUCCUGGUUGGCCUGGUCAACAUAUUCUUUGCCUGGAGCUCCACAGUACCUGUCUUUGCUGCCCUCUGGUUCCUUAAUGGCCUGGCCCAGGGGCUGGGCUGGCCCCCAUGUGGGAAGGUCCUGCGGAAGGUGAGUGCUUCCAAAGAGCCUGUUUGGAUUGUCAUAGAGGAUGCCUAAAGAGCAUGUGGGAGCGCCCUUUCUUACCCACCACCUCCACACCCAACCCAGAGCAGGUUCCUGAGCAGUUCCUGGCCAGCUCCUAUUGCUUGUCAAGAUAUUUUAGGAGGCUGAGAGUGGUGGGAUCAGGUGGCAGAGGAGGAAACUGCCCUGCCAAACAGAAGCGCCCUCUCCCUCUUCCCUGUAAUGUGAGCUUCUGGGGCUGCCCCAUCUGACCCCACCCUCAACAUGGGCAGUAGGCUGGACACCUACGUGUCGCCCUCUGCCCCACAGUGGUUUGAGCCAUCUCAGUUUGGCACUUGGUGGGCCAUCCUGUCAACCAGCAUGAACCUGGCUGGAGGGCUGGGCCCUAUCCUGGCAACCAUCCUUGCCCAGAGCUACAGCUGGCGCAGCACGCUGGCCCUAUCUGGGGCACUGUGGUGUGGUUGUCUCCUUCCUCUGUCUCCUGCUCAUCCACAAUGAACCUGCUGAUGUUGGACUCCGCAACCUGGACCCCAUGCCCUCUGAGGGCAAGAAGGGCUCCUUGAAGGAGGAGAGCACCCUGCAGGAGCUGCUGCUGUCCCCUUACCUGUGGGUGCUCUCCACUGGUUACCUUGUGGUGUUUGGAGUAAAGACCUGCUGUACUGACUGGGGCCAGUUCUUCCUUAUCCAGGAGAAAGGACAGUCAGCCCUUGUAGGUAGCUCCUACAUGAGUGCCCUGGAAGUUGGGGGCCUUGUAGGCAGCAUCGCAGCUGGCUACCUGUCAGACCGGGCCAUGGCAAAGGCGGGACUGUCCAACUACGGGAACCCUCGCCAUGGCCUGUUGCUGUUCAUGAUGGCUGGCAUGACAGUGUCCAUGUACCUCUUCCGGGUAACAGUGACCAGUGACUCCCCCAAGCUCUGGAUCCUGGUAUUGGGAGCUGUAUUUGGUUUCUCCUCGUAUGGCCCCAUUGCCCUGUUUGGAGUCAUAGCCAACGAGAGUGCCCCUCCCAACUUGUGUGGCACCUCCCACGCCAUUGUGGGACUCAUGGCCAAUGUGGGCGGCUUUCUGGCUGGGCUGCCCUUCAGCACCAUUGCCAAGCACUACAGUUGGAGCACAGCCUUCUGGGUGGCUGAAGUGAUUUGUGCGGCCAGCACGGCUGCCUUCUUCCUCCUACGAAACAUCCGCACCAAGAUGGGCCGAGUGUCCAAGAAGGCUGAGUGAAGAGAGUCCAGGUUCCGGAGCACCAUCCCACGGUGGCCUUCCCCCUGCACGCUCUGCGGGGAGAAAAGGAGGGGCCUGCCUGGCUAGCCCUGAACCUUUCACUUUCCAUUUCUGCGCCUUUUCUGUCACCCGGGUGGCGCUGGAAGUUAUCAGUGGCUAGUGAGGUCCCAGCUCCCUGAUCCUAUGCUCUAUUUAAAAGAUAACCUUUGGCCUUAGACUCCGUUAGCUCCUAUUUCCUGCCUUCAGACAAACAGGAAACUUCUGCAGUCAGGAAGGCUCCUGUACCCUUCUUCUUUUCCUAGGCCCUGUCCUGCCCGCAUCCUACCCCAUCCCCACCUGAAGUGAGGCUAUCCCUGCAGCUGCAGGGCACUAAUGACCCUUGACUUCUGCUGGGUCCUAAGUCCUCUCAGCAGUGGGUGACUGCUGUUGCCAAUACCUCAGACUCCAGGGAAAGAGAGGAGGCCAUCAUUCUCACUGUACCACUAGGCGCAGUUGGAUAUAGGUGGGAAGAAAAGGUGACUUGUUAUAGAAGAUUAAAACUAGAUUUGAUACUG